UCAUUAAGAAGCUAUGAAUCAGCAUUAGCCUUUUAAGCUAAAGAAAGAGGGGCCCCUCCCCUCCUUAAUGGU
This 72-nucleotide transfer RNA is filed under the name Sporophila ruficollis (dark-throated seedeater). RNAcentral describes it as "tRNA-Lys". Lineage: Eukaryota; Metazoa; Chordata; Aves; Passeriformes; Thraupidae. RNAcentral also lists the same sequence under 1 other name. The record is from RNAcentral.